AUUUAUAUAGUUUAUAAAAACAUUACAUUUUCAUUGUAAAAAUAAAGAAUUUAUCUUUUAUAAAUU
RNAcentral lists this transfer RNA (66 nucleotides) under Leptopeza flavipes. RNAcentral describes it as "tRNA-Glu". Lineage: Eukaryota; Metazoa; Arthropoda; Insecta; Diptera; Hybotidae. The record is from RNAcentral.